RNAcentral lists this ribosomal RNA (274 nucleotides) under uncultured bacterium. RNAcentral describes it as "partial 16S ribosomal RNA". It matches the Rfam family "Bacterial small subunit ribosomal RNA", at positions 523 to 796 of the family's 1533-position model. The record is from RNAcentral.
AUACGGAGGGUGCAAGCGUUAAUCGGAAUUACGGGGCGUAAAGCGCGCGUAGGCGGAUAUUUAAGUCUCAUGUGAAAGCCCUGGGCUCAACCUGGGAACUGCAUGGGAUACUGGGUAUCUAGAAUACAGUAGAGGGUAGUGGAAUUUCAGGUGUAGCGGUGAAAUGCGUAGAGAUCUGAAGGAACAUCAGUGGCGAAGGCGACUACCUGGACUGAUAUUGACGCUGAGGUGCGAAAGCGUGGGGAGCAAACGGGAUUAGAAACCCUAGUAGUCC